GUCGUAAAUAAUAGAAUCUUUAGAACCACAAAAAUUCCUAGUAGAUACUGGGAAAAAAAAAAAAAAAAAAAUUGCCCGUGUAGUAAUUGCUUUUUUUGUUUGGUGCAACGGUUUUUCAAAUUGUUUGGCGGGAAUAAAUCUGUUUUGGCAACAAUGUUAUGUGCAUAUGUUUCAGAAACACAAGUUCGAAUUUUGUGAUUUUGAAGUUAAGUAGCGAUUUGUAUAGGGCUAUCAAAUAAGAUAUUUUUUUCGGUCAUUUUCUUGUAUGCUUUACAUAUAUAUGAAGUAAUCAAGAGAGAAGUUACAGAUGUAGCAUAUAGAAGACUGUGCUGUCAAGCUUUGAGAAUAUCUGACAAAUAAACUGAUUAAAACUAGUGCUGGUCACUCAAGUGGCAAAAAUCCGUAACAGUGUUUAAACAUUGGAAAAAUUAUACUUUUCUUUUUUAAACUUUGCAUCGCAUAAUCCACUUAAAUACGAAUCUAAGUUGUACUGCAAAAUAUAUUUGUAUGUGGGGGUAAGUGCAAAGACAAGCAAUGUUUAUGAAGGAAGCUAAAAUUAUGAAAAAAACUUGUUGGCAGAAAUGAAUCCAAGAGCUGAAUAGUAGCUUGUGAUGCUCAGCGAGAGUAUAAAGACCUUAAUACAAACCUUCUGGUGAGUCAUUAAAAUCUGAAUCCUUUCCGAUUUUUUCUUUUUCCCUUCCCUUUUUUCUUUUCUCUUUCCUUUCCACCCCUUCGUCGAUGGGUAUUAUUUGGUAAUCAUAUUCAAAAUAGUAUCAAACAAAUUCUUAUUUUCAGUAGCUUGUUUCUGCUUCCACAUGAACUCUGUUAAAUUUCAAGAUAGGCGAUGCUAAACAGUACACAUUGCUAUUUAUUCCUCCAAUUUACUGACGCCCAUGUGGGUUUUCAGUUAAAGCCACACGACACAUUUCCGCUGCUAUAUUGGUGCAUCCUUACUUUUCCCUACGCCUUUCUUCUUAUUAUUAGAGGAAACAGAAGGAUCGGGAAUAGCAACAAGGAACAUGUUCUAAUUACACGACAAAAUCUUCCAAAAAACAACUGAGAGAUGAAAAUGUGGCCUACGUUAGUUUUGUAGUUAUUUUUGUUAUUAGAUGAAUAAUUUUUACCUACAUGAACAAUUUUGUCUUGUGUUUCGUUUGAAGUAAGCUUUGGCUCUCAAAAUUCAACUGGCUUUAACAAAACUAGUAAAUGAAUUGUACAGUAACAAAAAGAAUGAAUGACCUAACAAACUACGUUUGCGUUCAAACAACUUUUCCUUCCUUCCUGGCAUUUCGGCUUCGAAUCACAUUUCAGUUUCCUGAAAUGGUUAUUUGUAGAACCAGGAGGCAAGUGAGAAGAGGAAGGGGUGCCAAAUUAACUACAAAAAUUUUGAAAUUCAUUAAAAAAUAAAUUUUAAUUUUUAACUCUGAAAUGCACCAAUGAAUAUGAAGAAGAGUUUUGUGCUUAAAAUAGUCAAUCUGAUUUAAAAGAAGAAUCAAUAAUAUUCAUUUAAUCUCAGAAAAGAUGAGUUUCAGAGUAUGUAUCAGUAUGUAUGUAUAUUUUAUAGCAUUAAAAUUUAUUAAUGGAAGUAGCAUAUUGAAGUCAAUGUGCACUUCUUAUAACGAACUGCAUAGGCUAAACUUGCAUAAAAAUAUCAUACUCCUGAUUUUAGU
This is a long non-coding RNA of Stegodyphus dumicola, 1670 nucleotides long. The record is from RefSeq and is a predicted model, not a curated record. Lineage: Eukaryota; Metazoa; Arthropoda; Arachnida; Araneae; Eresidae.